GGCGUAAAAGCGCACGCAAGGGCGGGGUCUGUCAAGUCGGAUGUGAAAAUCCCCGGGCUCAACCUGGGGAACUGCAUCCGAAACUGGCAGGCUAGAGUCUUGUAGAGGGGGGUAGAAUUCCAGGUGUAGCGGUGAAAUGCGUAGAGAUCUGGAGGAAUACCGGUGGCGAAGGCGGCCCCCUGGACAAGACUGACGCUCAGGUGCGAAAGCGUGGGAGCGACAGGAUUAGAUACCCUGGUAGCCACGCCGUAACGAUGACAAAAAUGAAGGAUGUGACAUUGAAGCGUGAAUUACGGAGCUAACGCGAUAAUUCGACCGACUGAAGAGAAAGGCCGAAAGAAUAAAACGCAAAUGAAUUGACGGGGGCCCACACAA
RNAcentral lists this ribosomal RNA (375 nucleotides) under Citrobacter sp. RNAcentral's name for it is "bacterial SSU rRNA". It matches the Rfam family "Bacterial small subunit ribosomal RNA", at positions 547 to 928 of the family's 1533-position model. Lineage: Bacteria; Pseudomonadati; Pseudomonadota; Gammaproteobacteria; Enterobacterales; Enterobacteriaceae. The record is from RNAcentral.